GAUGAAGAACGCAGCGAAAUGCGAUAAGUAAUGUGAAUUGCAGAAUUCAGUGAAUCAUCGAAUCUUUGAACGCACAUUGCGCCCCUUGGUAUUCCGAGGGGCAUGCCUGUUCGAGCGUCAUUAUAACCCCUCAAGCUCAGCUUGGUGUUGGGGCCUGCUGCACUGGCAGCCCUUAAAAUCAGUGGCGGCGCCAUCUGGCUCUAAGCGUAGUAAUUCUUCUCGCUAUGGAGUCCUGGUGGAUGCUUGCCAUCAACCCCCAAUUUUUCUAUGGUUGACCUCGGAUCAGGUAGGGAUACCCACUGAACUUAAGCAUAUCAAUAAGCGGAGGA
RNAcentral lists this unclassified non-coding RNA (329 nucleotides) under soil metagenome. Its description in RNAcentral is "partial contains 5.8S ribosomal RNA, internal transcribed spacer 2, and large subunit ribosomal RNA". The stretch from base 1 to 120 matches the Rfam family "5.8S ribosomal RNA", at positions 35 to 154 of the family's 154-position model. The record is from RNAcentral.